AACGAACGCUGGCGGCAGGCUUAACACAUGCAAGUCGAGCGGGCGCCUUCGGGCGUCAGCGGCGGACGGGUUAGUAACGCGUGGGAACGCGCCCUCUUCUACGGAAUAGCCUCGGGAAACUGAGAUUAAUACCGUAUGCGCCCGGAGACGGGGAAAGAUUUAUCGGAGGAGGACCGGCCCGCGUCCGAUUAGGUAGUUGGUGGGGUAACGGCUCACCAAGCCGACGAUCGGUAGCUGGUUUGAGAGGAUGAUCAGCAACACUGGGACUGAGACACGGCCCAGACUCCUACGGGAGGCAGCAGUGGGGAAUCUUGGACAAUGGGGGCAACCCUGAUCCAGCCAUGCCGCGUGGACGAUGAAGGCCUUAGGGUUGUAAAGUCCUUUCGCCAGGGAAGAUAAUGACGGUACCUGGUAAAGAAGCCCCGGCUAACUCCGUGCCAGCAGCCGCCGUAACAC
This 456-nucleotide ribosomal RNA is filed under the name uncultured bacterium. Its description in RNAcentral is "bacterial SSU rRNA". It matches the Rfam family "Bacterial small subunit ribosomal RNA", at positions 29 to 526 of the family's 1533-position model. The record is from RNAcentral.